AAAUUCUUAGUAUAAUUUUAAGUAUAUUUAAUUGCAAAUUAAAUGGUUGAGAGUUUUAA
This 59-nucleotide transfer RNA is filed under the name Oesophagostomoides giltneri. Its description in RNAcentral is "tRNA-Cys". Lineage: Eukaryota; Metazoa; Nematoda; Chromadorea; Rhabditida; Strongylidae. The record is from RNAcentral.